CCCCCUUUCAUUUUUCAAUAAUAGUCCCUUUAAAUGUAUAAUUUUUGAGAUUAAACCCUUAAAAAUGGAUGAGUACUGGAAUUGUAGAAACUACACAGUGGAGAGUAAACUUGGUGAAUAUCCAGGAGUUUUCAUCAUUAUGGCAAUCUUCUUAAUCAUCGGUACCUUCUUCUUCUGGGUUCUUCGUUGCUUCUUCAACAGUAUUGAAGAUCACAGGAUGAACAUCAACAUCUUUCUCAACAAGCGGAUAACACAUCUUAUGAUAGUUCACAUCUACAUAAUGUGUCUGACAAUCAUGUGGAGCAGUAUCCUGGGACCAAUACCACUAAUCAUCUUCAAGAUUAUCAGAUACUCCAGCAUCAUUUGUGCUUUCAUCAUCGGCAAUCUGUUCCUCUUCAUCUCAACCUUCAGAUUCUUCUUAGUUUACCAGGUAUUACUGAAUUAGAAAUUGUAUAGUUGUGUUCAAGCCUUGCAGUAGCAGCCUACACACUAUAGUUUCAGUUUCAGAAGAAAACGACUGGAUAAUGGAGUUUGAUCAAGAGAAGAUGGAGAGGAAGUGUCUCUACUCUGCUAUUCUUCUUGGAGUUCUUAUAUACCCUGGGUUCCUGUGUGCAGAUAUUAAACGUGGCACUGUACAUGCAAUGGAAUCAUUUCAAAGCAGAUGUCCUGUAACUGAUGGAAAAGAUUUUGUUGUGCUUGUGAAUAUUUUCAUUGUCAGCGUAUACCUCGCAAUCUUCAUACUUUCAAACAUCAUUCUAAAAUUUCUUUUUAGAAACGAGAACCAAGACAAUGGCCAAGGCUUUCGCUUAAAAACCAUGACAAUUGGGAUUGUGGUUGUAGCAGGAGUGCUUGGUUUUCUUGGAAUAAUUCAAUUCCUACCAAACUCGGAUUUUGACCUAAAACCAGUCUAUGUACUGACAAGUGUACUUAUUUCAGGAUUAGGUUUGUGCAUAAUCAAAGAAAAUGAGUUCACUUUCCCCUUUCUUGUAAACCUGAUCCUUAAAUGUACGGAUCCCAAUGCUGUGGGUCCUAUUGUUCCAGCUAACCACAUGCAGGAGCUGAACCCUAGAGCACUGGAGAACAAUAAGGACUGUAGGAUUAUAGAUCUAGAGGAUGAUGGAGGAAUAUUUAUGGGAUGAACCUUGCAGGAGCUGAACCCUAGAGCACUGGAGAAUAAUCAGAACUGUAAGAUUAUAGAUCUAGAGGAUGAUGGAGGAAUAUUUAUGGGAUGAACCUUGCAGGAUCAGAAUCCUAGAGCACUGGAGAAUAAUCAGGACUGAAGGAUUAUAGAUUUAGAGGAAAAUGGAGGAAUAUUUAUGAAAUGAACCUUGCAGGAUCAGAAUCCUAGAGCACUGGAGAAUAAUCAGGACUGAAGGAUUAUAGAUUUAGAGGAAAAUGGAGGAAUAUUUAUGGGAUGAACCUUGCAGGAUCAAAAUCCUAGAGCACUGGAGAAUAAUCAGGACUGUGGGAUUAUAGAUC
This is an RNA transcript of Eurytemora carolleeae, 1479 nucleotides long. RefSeq lists it as uncharacterized. The record is from RefSeq and is a predicted model, not a curated record. The transcript has 5 exons. NCBI's taxonomy places the organism in Eukaryota, Metazoa, Arthropoda, Copepoda, Calanoida, Temoridae.